RNAcentral lists this ribosomal RNA (253 nucleotides) under uncultured bacterium. RNAcentral's name for it is "partial 16S ribosomal RNA". It matches the Rfam family "Bacterial small subunit ribosomal RNA", at positions 524 to 776 of the family's 1533-position model. The record is from RNAcentral.
UACGUAGGGUGCAAGCGUUAAUCGGAAUUACUGGGCGUAAAGCGUGCGCAGGCGGUGAUGUAAGACAGUUGUGAAAUCCCUGGGCUCAACCUGGGAACUGCAUCUGUGACUGCAUAGCUAGAGUACGGUAGAGGGGGAUGGAAUUCCGCGUGUAGCAGUGAAAUGCGUAGAUAUGCGGAGGAACACCGAUGGCGAAGGCAAUCCCCUGGACCUGUACUGACGCUCAUGCACGAAAGCGUGGGGAGCAAACAGG